This 301-nucleotide ribosomal RNA is filed under the name uncultured bacterium. Its description in RNAcentral is "partial 16S ribosomal RNA". It matches the Rfam family "Bacterial small subunit ribosomal RNA", at positions 509 to 807 of the family's 1533-position model. The record is from RNAcentral.
CAGUAGCCGCGGGAAUACGUAGGUGGCAAGCGUUGUCCGGAAUUAUUGGGCGUAAAGGGCUCGCAGGCGGUUUCUUAAGUCCGAUGUGAAAGCCCCCGGCUCAACCGGGGAGGGUCAUUGGAAACUGGGAAACUUGAGUGCAGAAGAGGAGAGUGGAAUUCCACGUGUAGCGGUGAAAUGCGUAGAGAUGUGGAGGAACACCAGUGGCGAAGGCGACCCUCUGGUCUGUAACUGACGCUGAGGAGCGAAAGCGUGGGGAGCGAACAGGAUUAGAUACCCGUGUAGUCCCUGUCUCUUAUAC